UCACCGGGAUUGCAUCUUUCGA
RNAcentral lists this microRNA (22 nucleotides) under Panagrellus redivivus. RNAcentral describes it as "prd-miR-7940b-3p". The record is from miRBase by way of RNAcentral. Lineage: Eukaryota; Metazoa; Nematoda; Chromadorea; Rhabditida; Panagrolaimidae.